This 87-nucleotide transfer RNA is filed under the name Candidatus Wolfebacteria bacterium. Its description in RNAcentral is "tRNA-Leu". It matches the Rfam family "tRNA". From Rfam's summary of the family: Transfer RNA (tRNA) molecules are approximately 80 nucleotides in length. Their secondary structure includes four short double-helical elements and three loops (D, anti-codon, and T loops). The record is from RNAcentral. Lineage: Bacteria; Candidatus Wolfeibacteriota.
GCCCUCUUGGCGGAAUUGGCAGACGCGCGCGCUUCAGGGGCGUGUGGCCGCAAGGCCAUAGAGGUUCAAAUCCUCUAGAGGGCACCA